RNAcentral lists this ribosomal RNA (253 nucleotides) under uncultured bacterium. Its description in RNAcentral is "partial 16S ribosomal RNA". It matches the Rfam family "Bacterial small subunit ribosomal RNA", at positions 524 to 776 of the family's 1533-position model. The record is from RNAcentral.
UACGGAGGGUGCAAGCGUUAUCCGGAUUCACUGGGUUUAAAGGGUGCGUAGGCGGGCAGGUAAGUCCGUGGUGAAAUCUCUGAGCUUAACUCAGAAACUGCCAUGGAUACUAUUUGUCUUGAAUAUUGUGGAGGUAAGCGGAAUAUGUCAUGUAGCGGUGAAAUGCUUAGAUAUGACAUAGAACACCGAUAGCGAAGGCAGCUUGCUACACAAUCAUUGACACUGAGGCACGAAAGCGUGGGGAUCAAACAGG